UACGGAGGAUCCAAGCGUUAUCCGGAUUUAUUGGGUUUAAAGGGUGCGCAGGCGGGAUAAUAAGUCAGUGGUGAAAGCCUUCAGCUUAACUGAGGAACUGCCAUUGAUACUGUUAUUCUUGAGAGUAAUUGAUGUAGGCGGAAUGUGUCAUGUAGCGGUGAAAUGCUUAGAUAUGACACAGAACACCGAUUGCGAAGGCAGCUUACAAAAUUAUUUCUGACGCUCAUGCACGAAAGCGUGGGGAUCAAACAGGAUUAGAUACCCUGGUAGUCCACGCCGUAAACGAUGAUUACUCGCUGUUGGCGAUACACAGUCAGUGGCCAAGCGAAAGCAUUAAGUAAUCCACCUGGGGAGUACGGUCGCAAGACUGAA
RNAcentral lists this ribosomal RNA (372 nucleotides) under uncultured bacterium. RNAcentral describes it as "bacterial SSU rRNA". It matches the Rfam family "Bacterial small subunit ribosomal RNA", at positions 524 to 898 of the family's 1533-position model. The record is from RNAcentral.